AGUGAACGCUGGCGGUAGGCCUAACACAUGCAAGUCGAACGGCAGCACAGUAAGAGCUUGCUCUUACGGGUGGCGAGUGGCGGACGGGUGAGGAAUACAUCGGAAUCUACUUUUUCGUGGGGGAUAACGUAGGGAAACUUACGCUAAUACCGCAUACGACCUACGGGUGAAAGCAGGGGAUCUUCGGACCUUGCGCGAUUGAAUGAGCCGAUGUCGGAUUAGCUAGUUGGCGGGGUAAAGGCCCACCAAGGCGACGAUCCGUAGCUGGUCUGAGAGGAUGAUCAGCCACACUGGAACUGAGACACGGUCCAGACUCCGACGGGAGGCAGCAGUGGGGAAUAUUGGACAAUGGGCGCAAGCCUGAUCCGGCCAUACCGCGUGGGUGAAGAAGGCCUUCGGGUUGUAAAGCCCUUUUGUUGGGAAAGAAAAGCAGCAGGUUAAUACCCCGCUGUUCUGACGGUACCCAAAGAAUAAGCACCGGCUAACUUCGUG
This 492-nucleotide ribosomal RNA is filed under the name uncultured bacterium. Its description in RNAcentral is "partial 16S ribosomal RNA". It matches the Rfam family "Bacterial small subunit ribosomal RNA", at positions 29 to 507 of the family's 1533-position model. The record is from RNAcentral.